This 1031-nucleotide long non-coding RNA is filed under the name Nicotiana tabacum (common tobacco). Its description in RNAcentral is "long non-coding RNA (NTAB_LNC006697)". Lineage: Eukaryota; Viridiplantae; Streptophyta; Magnoliopsida; Solanales; Solanaceae. The record is from RNAcentral.
AUCAGGAAGCGGUCCUUUGUGACCAUGGGCACCGAAUACCCCAAUCGACCAACCUUUCCCUCAAGGCCUGCUACUACACCUUUUGGUGUUCCGCAGAGUGCAAGUCCUUUUCAAUCAUCUGUUCCAGUAGUUGGAUCUGAUGCUUCUGCUUUUCGGCCUGCUCCUCCUACUUCUUCUCCAGCUAUGUCAUCUCCGUCUUCAUCUGGCCCCAUGGUUGGACCAGGGACCUCUACUUUUAGACCGAUGCCGCCCGGUAUGCCACCUCCAACAUCGGCACCUCCAUAUGGGCUGACAGGCACUGGCCCUUUCCAGCGUUUCCCAGCACCGCAGUUUCCUUCUACAGCUCAGGUACCACCUCCACGCACUUCAGUGCCGGGACAGCCUGUUUUAGCACCCCCAGUUAGACCUGUUUCAGGUCCUUUCUCACCACCUCCUGUUGCCCAUCAUCCACAAAUCCAACCUCCUCCAGUUCCGAUGGGAUCUCCCCCUCAAGGUGCAAGUACACUGCAGCCUAGACCAAAUGUUCAUCAGGCAUCCAUACCAUCCCAGUUUUCUGCUGCCAGAGCAACCAUGCAGCCGUCUUCUCCUCCAGCUAGUUUAGUUUAUCCUGCUGCUAGACCUGGCUUUCAAUCUUCUUUUCCUGGGUAUAUAAGUCAGCAGCCUUCAGGGUUUACACAGGCUCCACCUAGACAAUCAGUAUCAUAUCCUUCUCAGCCAGGCAGCUAUGUCCCACCAGUGCCAGCAGCUUCUACCCCAUAUCUUGCUCAACAAGGAGGCUAUGCAGCACCACCACCUCUAACAUCUCAACAUCCAGGAUCGACGCCUCCUAUGUCAGCUAUUCAGGGUUUGGUGGAAGACUUCAGUUCCUUUUCUAUUGGGUCUGUUCCAGGAUCAUUUGAUUCCGGCCUUGAUUCUAAAGUCUUACCGAGACCAAUUGAAGAUGACCCUGAGCAGAACGUUUUGUCUGAUAUGUAUCCCAUGAACUGUAGUUCUAGAUUUUUGAGGCUAACAACUAGUGGCAUUCCGAAUUC